AACUAUUGAAUAAUAGUUCCCAGUGGGCAAUUGCUGACUUCAGUGAAAUGCACCACUAGGCCCAACUACAACAAAAAAGAUCAGUGUAUAAGCAUAAGCAAAGGCGAUAAAUACAACGGAUAAGCAAAGAUGAAUUCUACUCAACCACGAUUUCUCUACUUAGCAUGAUUGCAUAAGUAAUAAAACAACUACCACAAGUAUGUAUAUGAGAAUAACCAAUAUGUAAAUGCAUGAGUAUGCAAUUAUCCUAAUGUCCACAAUGUGAAUAGCAAUAAUGUCAAUGUUCACUAUUCUAGUCAAUGUCCACUUGUCACUUUAACUGUUUCAAGUUCCACUCUGAUAAGACCCACCCGAAGGCUGUCUGGCAUAAGACCCACCCGAAGGCUGUCUGGCUUUACCGUGCCUAAUGGCCCCGUGGUAGUCAACAUCCCCACCCUAGGAAUGAGCCUUUCCCACGGCAAUCCACUUCGGCGCCCAGUCCCGCAUGGCGAACGCAUCGCGAUGGCCAACUCCGGAGUGCCGGCUUGUAGGGAGCGACCCUCACAAGCAAGUGCGAAUGAGCACAAUGGCAAGCAUGCGUUGUAACGCCCCGGGACUGAUACCAAUUUGGGCUGGCCCGAGCACGUCAAGCAGACGCCGAGCGGACAGAGUUUUCCAUGUCCGCCCAAGGCUCAUCACAUGUACAUUUUCAAUCAAGAAGUGCAUUAGCGGAAACAUACAAAUACGGCUUACACGAGGUUAAGCAAUAGCCACGAGUGAAAGAAAAAGAAAACUAAACAUUCUCUUGUACUAUGAUUCAUUUUUUAUCAUAUACAUUGCAUUCAUCUUGUACAUUUUCGAAUUCCGUACAUUUCAUUUCAUCAAUUCUUUCUUGCAUCACAUUUACCUCAAAAUACACAUUACAUUCUUUUCUUUACAUCAUUUAUCAUCAAAUACAAAAGAUGAACAUAGGGUACUCUACUAACAAAAUGUAAAUCCAACUCAACUCUGGUGGCCUCUGUCUAAGGCGUGAUACCUUUACCUCGGUCGCUCGCCGGCUCGCUCGGUCCCGGCUCUAUGGAAAUAGUGGGGUGAGAACUACAACAAAGUUCCCAGUGGGUUC
Molecule: long non-coding RNA, 1102 nt
Filed under: Ananas comosus (pineapple)
Lineage: Eukaryota; Viridiplantae; Streptophyta; Magnoliopsida; Poales; Bromeliaceae
Description: long non-coding RNA (ACOM_LNC038102)
Source: RNAcentral